RNAcentral lists this transfer RNA (70 nucleotides) under Dipodomys ordii (Ord's kangaroo rat). It matches the Rfam family "tRNA". Rfam says of the family: Transfer RNA (tRNA) molecules are approximately 80 nucleotides in length. Their secondary structure includes four short double-helical elements and three loops (D, anti-codon, and T loops). Further hydrogen bonds mediate the characteristic L-shaped molecular structure. tRNAs have two regions of fundamental functional importance: the anti-codon, which is responsible for specific mRNA codon recognition, and the 3' end, to which the tRNAs corresponding amino acid is attached (by aminoacyl-tRNA synthetases). tRNAs cope with the degeneracy of the genetic code in two manners: having more than one tRNA (with a specific anti-codon) for a particular amino acid; and 'wobble' base-pairing, i.e. permitting non-standard base-pairing at the 3rd anti-codon position. The record is from Rfam by way of RNAcentral. Lineage: Eukaryota; Metazoa; Chordata; Mammalia; Rodentia; Heteromyidae.
GGGAAUGUGGCCUAGUGGUAGAGUGCUUGCCUAACAUGCAUGAAGCCCUGGGUUCGAUUCCUCAGUACCA